UGGUGCCAGCAGCCGCGGUAAUUCCAGCUCCAAUAGCGUAUAUUAAAGUUGUUGCAGUUAAAAAGCUCGUAGUUGAAUUUCGGGAUCAGUAGGUUGGUCAUGCCUAUGGUAUGCACUGGCUUUACUGGUUCCUCCUUCUUGAUGAUCUGUAAUGUCAUUAAUUUGGUGUUGCAGGGAGUCAGGACUGUUACUUUGAAAAAAUUAGAGUGUUUAAAGCAGGCAUACGCUUGAAUACAUUAGCAUGGAAUAAUGAAAUAGGACGUUCGAUCCUAUUUUGUUGGUUUCUAGGAUUGACGUAAUGAUUAAUAGGGAUAGUUGGGGGCAUUAGUAUUCAAUUGUCAGAGGUGAAAUUCUUGGAUUUAUUGAAGACUAACUACUGCGAAAGCAUUUGCCAAGGAUGUUUUCAUUAAUCAAGAACGAAAGUUAGGGGAUCGAAGACGAUCAGAUACCGUCGUAGUCUUAACCAUAAACUAUGCCGACUAGGGA
This 486-nucleotide ribosomal RNA is filed under the name uncultured Glomus. RNAcentral's name for it is "SSU rRNA". It matches the Rfam family "Eukaryotic small subunit ribosomal RNA", at positions 562 to 1052 of the family's 1831-position model. Lineage: Eukaryota; Fungi; Glomeromycota; Glomeromycetes; Glomerales; Glomeraceae. RNAcentral also lists the same sequence under 1 other name. The record is from RNAcentral.